This 435-nucleotide ribosomal RNA is filed under the name uncultured bacterium. RNAcentral's name for it is "partial 16S ribosomal RNA". It matches the Rfam family "Bacterial small subunit ribosomal RNA", at positions 29 to 507 of the family's 1533-position model. The record is from RNAcentral.
AACGAACGCUGGCGGCAUGCCUAACACAUGCAAGUCGAACGAUUGCCUUCGGGUGAUAGUGGCGCACGGGUGCGUAACGCGUGGGAAUCUGCCCUUAGGUUCGGAAUAACAGCUGGAAACGGCUGCUAAUACCGGAUGAUAUCGCGAGAUCAAAGAUUUAUCGCCUGAGGAUGAGCCCGCGUUGGAUUAGGUAGUUGGUGGGGUAAAGGCCUACCAAGCCGACGAUCCAUAGCUGGUCUGAGAGGAUGAUCAGCCACACUGGGACUGAGACACGGCCCAGACUCCUACGGGAGGCAGCAGUGGGGAAUAUUGGACAAUGGGCGCAAGCCUGAUCCAGCAAUGCCGCGGGAGUGAUGAAGGCCCUAGGGUUGUAAAGCUCUUUUAACCGGGAAGAUAAUGACUGUACCGGGAGAAUAAGCCCCGGCUAACUCCGUG